UUGAACGCUGGCGGCAGGCCUAACACAUGCAAGUCGAGCGGUAGCACAGAGAGCUUGCUCUCGGGUGACGAGCGGCGGACGGGUGAGUAAUGUCUGGGAAACUGCCUGAUGGAGGGGGAUAACUACUGGAAACGGUAGCUAAUACCGCAUAACGUCGCAAGACCAAAGUGGGGGACCUUCGGGCCUCAUGCCAUCAGAUGUGCCCAGAUGGGAUUAGCUAGUAGGUGGGGUAACGGCUCACCUAGGCGACGAUCCCUAGCUGGUCUGAGAGGAUGACCAGCCACACUGGAACUGAGACACGGUCCAGACUCCUACGGGAGGCAGCAGUGGGGAAUAUUGCACAAUGGGCGCAAGCCUGAUGCAGCCAUGCCGCGUGUGUGAAGAAGGCCUUCGGGUUGUAAAGCACUUUCAGCGGGGAGGAAGGCGGUGAGGUUAAUAACCUCAUCGAUUGACGUUACCCGCAGAAGAAGCACCGGCUAACUCCGUGCCAGCAGCCGCGGUAAUACGGAGGGUGCAAGCGUUAAUCGGAAUUACUGGGCGUAAAGCGCACGCAGGCGGUCUGUCAAGUCGGAUGUGAAAUCCCCGGGCUCAACCUGGGAACUGCAUUCGAAACUGGCAGGCUAGAGUCUUGUAGAGGGGGGUAGAAUUCCAGGUGUAGCGGUGAAAUGCGUAGAGAUCUGGAGGAAUACCGGUGGCGAAGGCGGCCCCCUGGACAAAGACUGACGCUCAGGUGCGAAAGCGUGGGGAGCAAACAGGAUUAGAUACCCUGGUAGUCCACGCCGUAAACGAUGUCGAUUUGGAGGUUGUGCCCUUGAGGCGUGGCUUCCGGAGCUAACGCGUUAAAUCGACCGCCUGGGGAGUACGGCCGCAAGGUUAAAACUCAAAUGAAUUGACGGGGGCCCGCACAAGCGGUGGAGCAUGUGGUUUAAUUCGAUGCAACGCGAAGAACCUUACCUGGUCUUGACAUCCACAGAACUUUCCAGAGAUGGAUUGGUGCCUUCGGGAACUGUGAGACAGGUGCUGCAUGGCUGUCGUCAGCUCGUGUUGUGAAAUGUUGGGUUAAGUCCCGCAACGAGCGCAACCCUUAUCCUUUGUUGCCAGCGGUUAGGCCGGGAACUCAAAGGAGACUGCCAGUGAUAAACUGGAGGAAGGUGGGGAUGACGUCAAGUCAUCAUGGCCCUUACGACCAGGGCUACACACGUGCUACAAUGGCAUAUACAAAGAGAAGCGACCUCGCGAGAGCAAGCGGACCUCAUAAAGUAUGUCGUAGUCCGGAUUGGAGUCUGCAACUCGACUCCAUGAAGUCGGAAUCGCUAGUAAUCGUAGAUCAGAAUGCUACGGUGAAUACGUUCCCGGGCCUUGUACACACCGCCCGUCACACCAUGGGAGUGGGUUGCAAAAGAAGUAGGUAGCUUAACCUUCGGGAGGGCGCUUACCACUUUGUGAUUCAUGACUGGGG
This 1459-nucleotide ribosomal RNA is filed under the name uncultured organism. Its description in RNAcentral is "SSU rRNA". It matches the Rfam family "Bacterial small subunit ribosomal RNA". The record is from RNAcentral.